Emericellopsis atlantica is the source of this 74-nucleotide non-coding RNA. NCBI's taxonomy places the organism in Eukaryota, Fungi, Ascomycota, Sordariomycetes, Hypocreales, Bionectriaceae. The record is from the annotation of a RefSeq genome assembly.
UCUUCCAUGGCCCAGCUGGUCAAGGCGUCCGACUGUUAAUCGGGAGAUCACAAGUUCGAUCCUUGUUGGAAGAG